Molecule: RNA transcript, 11339 nt
Organism: Homo sapiens (human)
Lineage: Eukaryota; Metazoa; Chordata; Mammalia; Primates; Hominidae
Gene: TSC22D2
Gene name: TSC22 domain family member 2
Exons: 5
Source: RefSeq, marked validated
AGUCGGCAGCGGCGGCGGCAGCGGGGCUGCUGCUCCUCCCAGCAUCCCUGGCGCGGCCAUUUCAGCCCCAUCUUGGCCCAGCGGAGGGAGCUGCAGCCGCCGCUUCAGCAGUUUGAAUUUCAGUUUCUUCGGGGUUUAGGAAUUGGGCGCACCGAGGAGGAGCCGGAGAAGCCACCACCGCUACCUCACACAGCCGGGGCGCCUCCGGUCCCGUGCCAGCGGUCUGCCGCCGCCGCCCCUCUCUGAGAGAAGCCGCGAGGGGAGGCCGAGACCGCCGUCGCCGCCCGCCCGCAGGGGUGGUUCCCCCUGUAAGGGGAGGACCGAGCCGGCUUUCCCCUCCCCCAGAGCGGGUUUCCGCCUGAGGCAGUCGACAUGUCCCUGGGGCUGAGCUCCGGCUAGAGCCGGGGAGGGAGGGCCGCCUGCCCGCGCCACAGCCCCACCGCCCGCCCGCGGACCUUCAGCCAGCUCCGGCCCGCGGCUCCCGGCUGAAUUAGGCAUCUCCGACUCCGGACUCGCCGCUCCUUCCCUCAGUCAGAGAGCCCAGCGCUGACGCCGGCACCGGCCUGAGGAGCCCGAGCGGGGCAGCACCGCCCCUCACGCCGCCGCCACCGCCUCCUCCUCCUCCUCUUCGCCCUCCCACUCCCACCCCCAGCCAAGGCCUGCUGACCGCGCCGAGCGCCGAGCUGGACUGACCACGGCUGCCCGGAGACGAGAGAGGAAGCAGCCGGCCCGCCCCUGGGUUCGCGCUCUCGCCGCCUCUGAGGGAAUUGAAUUGAGGCGCCGCGGCUGCGAGAGCUAAAAAGGAAGGAGGAGCCGCCGCGGGACUGAGACGGGGGCAGAGCCGAAGAGACCGACACAGAGAAGGAAACGAGGAGGAGGAUGUCUCACCGGGCGGCCAGCGCCUGGAUCAGCCCGUGACUCUUAACAGCGGCGGGCCUCAGACCCCAGCGCAGACUCGGACUUUGUCUUUGGGGGCCCGUGCUCUGCCCUCCCCGGUUUCCGACAGGACCCAGAGGAGCCGGCGUGCCUCUCUGCCCUCCAGCCUUCUUCACCAUGUCCAAGAUGCCGGCCAAGAAGAAGAGCUGCUUCCAGAUCACCAGUGUCACCACGGCCCAGGUGGCCACUAGCAUCACCGAGGACACCGAGAGCUUGGACGACCCGGACGAGUCACGCACAGAGGACGUCUCCUCCGAGAUUUUCGACGUCUCUCGGGCCACGGAUUAUGGCCCUGAGGAGGUCUGCGAGCGCAGCUCUUCCGAAGAGACGCUUAACAAUGUUGGGGAUGCGGAGACUCCCGGGACCGUCUCCCCAAACCUCCUCCUAGAUGGGCAGCUGGCAGCGGCGGCUGCUGCUCCCGCCAACGGAGGAGGAGUCGUUUCGGCCCGGAGCGUGUCUGGGGCGCUCGCCAGUACCCUGGCGGCGGCUGCCACUUCGGCCCCCGCCCCCGGAGCACCCGGCGGCCCCCAGCUCGCGGGCUCAUCCGCCGGGCCAGUGACUGCAGCCCCAUCUCAGCCUCCCACCACAUGUAGUUCCCGUUUUCGCGUGAUCAAGCUGGACCACGGGAGCGGAGAGCCCUAUAGACGCGGCCGAUGGACGUGUAUGGAAUACUAUGAGAGGGAUUCAGACAGCAGCGUCCUGACUAGAUCCGGGGAUUGCAUUAGACACAGCAGUACUUUUGACCAGACUGCGGAGCGGGACAGCGGCCUGGGCGCCACCGGAGGGUCGGUGGUGGUAGUAGUGGCCUCCAUGCAGGGGGCGCACGGGCCCGAGUCGGGAACUGACAGCUCCUUGACUGCUGUGUCACAGCUACCCCCGUCGGAGAAAAUGAGCCAGCCCACUCCGGCCCAGCCGCAGAGUUUUAGCGUUGGGCAGCCACAGCCGCCGCCGCCACCCGUAGGUGGGGCUGUGGCUCAAAGCUCGGCUCCGCUGCCGCCGUUCCCGGGAGCCGCGACCGGGCCGCAGCCAAUGAUGGCAGCCGCGCAGCCCAGCCAGCCCCAGGGAGCGGGGCCCGGGGGACAGACUCUGCCGCCGACGAAUGUAACCCUGGCGCAGCCGGCUAUGUCCCUGCCUCCGCAGCCGGGCCCUGCAGUGGGCGCCCCCGCGGCGCAGCAGCCCCAGCAGUUCGCGUAUCCUCAGCCUCAGAUACCGCCCGGACAUUUGCUGCCCGUCCAGCCCUCCGGCCAGAGUGAGUACCUGCAGCAGCACGUGGCCGGCCUGCAGCCGCCAAGCCCCGCGCAGCCCUCGUCCACCGGCGCCGCAGCGAGCCCCGCCACGGCGGCCACCCUUCCCGUGGGCACCGGCCAGAAUGCUUCCUCGGUGGGCGCGCAGCUCAUGGGCGCGUCUUCCCAGCCCAGCGAAGCCAUGGCCCCCCGGACGGGACCAGCGCAAGGCGGGCAGGUCGCGCCUUGUCAGCCGACUGGAGUGCCCCCGGCUACUGUGGGAGGCGUGGUGCAGCCGUGCCUCGGUCCUGCCGGGGCUGGGCAGCCCCAGUCCGUGCCUCCGCCGCAGAUGGGUGGCAGUGGUCCGCUGUCAGCCGUACCUGGUGGCCCUCACGCCGUGGUGCCCGGAGUUCCAAACGUGCCUGCAGCCGUGCCCGCUCCAAGCGUGCCUAGUGUGUCUACCACUUCUGUUACUAUGCCAAAUGUACCCGCGCCUCUGGCCCAGUCGCAACAGCUGAGCAGCCAUACGCCAGUCAGCAGGAGCAGCAGCAUAAUCCAGCAUGUUGGGCUGCCCUUAGCGCCAGGCACACACAGCGCACCAACAAGUCUACCACAGUCUGACCUAAGCCAGUUUCAAACUCAGACCCAGCCUUUAGUCGGGCAAGUCGACGAUACUAGAAGAAAAUCAGAACCCCUACCUCAACCACCACUUUCUCUCAUUGCUGAAAAUAAGCCUGUUGUGAAGCCGCCUGUUGCAGAUUCCCUGGCAAACCCCCUUCAGUUAACACCUAUGAACAGUCUGGCCACCUCUGUAUUCAGCAUAGCUAUUCCUGUUGAUGGUGAUGAAGACAGGAAUCCUUCAACUGCUUUCUACCAAGCGUUCCAUUUGAACACGUUAAAGGAAUCAAAGAGCCUCUGGGAUAGAAUUUUUUUUAGAAUUCAGCAUCGGAGGAGGAAUGUGACAUAAUAAUGAUCGAAAGCCGAAAGUUUAAAAGUUGUGAUGCCCUCACAUGGUUGGAGGGUUAUUCUAGCUUCUAAGGACUGAAUGUUGUCCACAAGAGUGUCAUCAGGUCAUAAAUUGUGCAUCUGGGGGAGGUGUUGUAGCCAUUGACAACAAAAUAGAACAAGCAAUGGAUCUGGUGAAAAGCCAUUUGAUGUAUGCAGUAAGAGAAGAAGUGGAAGUUUUAAAGGAACAAAUAAAAGAAUUAGUUGAAAGAAACUCUUUACUUGAACGAGAAAAUGCACUGUUAAAAUCUCUUUCAAGCAAUGAUCAAUUAUCCCAACUCCCAACCCAACAGGCCAAUCCUGGUAGCACUUCUCAACAGCAAGCAGUGAUAGCACAGCCUCCGCAGCCAACGCAACCUCCACAGCAGCCGAAUGUCUCCUCAGCAUAAAGCUUUCUUAAGCCUCAUUAAGAAAAAAACUGAAAGCAAUCUAUCCUUGUGUGCCACUGGUGUUCUUUCCACUUUAUACGAAAGCAAGUAGCCAUGCUUUGGUUGUGUGUUUGGCCUUUUCAGUAUUAGACAAUCAUUCUACAAGAGCUUUUCCUCUCUCUGAGAUGUCAUGCAGCGCUGUUGAUGUCCAGUUCUAUGUCAUCAGUACACAAGGAGAAUAAUAGAUGGGGUUUAUUAAAGCGAGCAAAGUCUGCAUUUUACCUGGUGCGCAUGAGUGGGGUCUUUAAGAGUUUUGGUGGCUCUCCCAUGUUUCCUAUUACCCAUGGAUUUACCCUGAGCCUUCCUAUCACAUUAUAAAUAACAGUUCAUCUAAAGAGCCACUUUUCUUUCUGAUUCAGUAACAUUUGCCUACAUAAGUUUUCAUUUAUUUGUGUUUUAUUUAUUACAGGGCUGCUAUUUUCAUAAUGUACAUGAACAAUGUCACAGAACUUUUUUAAUUUUUUUGAAUAAUUAUAAGUAUCAGUAAAGGAAGUGAAAGACAGGAUUGCAUUUAAUAGAUAAAACGUUUAGGCAAUAAUUGAACAAAAGAAUCCUGGCAUAUUUCUAACACUAAUGGCAAUUUACUUAUGGUAUUUAUUUUCAGUAGUAAAGACCCAGCUUGAAUGUAAAUUUUGUAUAGUGUAAGUAUGAAGAACAUAGUGCAACUGUACAGGUAGUCACCAGUUAUUGUGAUAUGAUAAAUAAUUGGGCUAUUUUGAUGAAGAAAACUUUGUUCAUUUGUUUCUACUUUCUAAGAGAAAUUGCCACGAUUCCUCUGCUUUUCAACAUUUCGUAUGACUUUUUUUUCGGGUGGGAAUAAAAAGCUGUGAAAUUGUUCAACCUACUUUGUAACCAAAGAAGCAAAGCUGUGUAAUGGAGUUUGGUUUUUUUUUGUUGUUUUUUUUUUUUUGUCUUUUUUUUUUUUUAUAAUGCACAUUCUUUAUGUAUUUUUAUUUAGUGUUUUCUCAGUCACAAUUUUCUUUACUGUCUAGCAUGAUCUGCAUGACCUAUAAUCUUUGAACCACUUUCGUACCUCAUGUUUUUAUCCAGCACUCUUAUUGUAAUAUGUACUAGUCUGUGAACAAUGUCAAAUAAAAGAGAACGAACAGGUAGUUUGGUGGAGCUGAGCUAGUGUACAAUACACUAGUUGUAAAAAAAAAAAAAAAAAAAAGUGAGCCAUCUUUUGUUCAUUUAAAAUGGUGUUUUGAAUUUCGUAUGCAGAAAACGUUUUGUUACAUUGCAGAUUUUAAUGUAUUUAAUAAAUGCAACAUGCAGAUUAAGUGCAGUGUAUACUGAGUAUUUAAAUUAAAAUGUACAUUUCAUAAAUACAGUUUCAAAAGAAAGCAUCAUUUUGUGUAUACUAACACAUUAAGUGUAUGUCAGAAAUUGAUGUAUAAAUAUAUAUUUUAACAUUUUCUGAAAUUAAACUGCAGUUUUGUUGAAAUAUUUGGCUCUAUAUGUGUUCAAAAUUUGACUAGAUUUGUAUUUUCACAGUUCAAAAUACUCCUUAAAGACCUGUUAAUAAUGACUUACUGAUAGUUCUUAAAUUUUCAAAGUAAAACAAUUUAAAGAAUGCAAAAAUAGUGAGCAAUAUUUGUACUCAAUAUUCAUAUUAUGUUAGUGAUACUUAAGUAGGAAAUCCUUGUCUACCAAAACUUUUACUUGAAUUCAGAAAGGUGCCUGUAGAAAUUAACAUGCACUGCAUCUGUAGCCAGCUAGCUAAUCAGAGUUAAUGAGAACCAGUAGUUAGUUCUCCGUGUUAAAAGACUUAUUUGAAGUAAAAAUUUAAUCAGAUUAGCCACAAACAAACAAGGCAUAAAAUUGGGAUGUACAUGAGAUUGCCAAAUAUUUUCUAUUCUAGUUGUGCUGCAAGACAUUGAACAAAAUGUUAAUGAAUAACAUUAUAAAUCAAGGAACUAAGUACAUAGGCUUGAGUAAGCAACCCUAAGGAUGUGUAGUAAGAUUCCAAGUAGAGCUGCUACAGGUGAGAUACUUAAUGGAAUGUGAAACUUCACUGUUGGACUGUUAACCGAAAAGGUUUGCUGGCUGUGCCCCUCCAGUGCUAACUGUGACAUGUGAUAUUUAAUACAGGUGGAGAAAAACUAGUCUUAGAAAUGGGAUUUUUGUGAAAAUAGAUUCCAUUUUGAUUCUGGGGCUGGAAAAACACUUCAUAAACAAAGUAAUAGUCUCCAAGGAAAUGAAUAAUAAGGUUUAAAAUGGUAACAGCAGUUAUUACUACUUUUAUAUUAAGAAAAACAGUAGAAAAGGAGAGAAAAUAUGGGUAGUUCACAGAAGAGAUAAAUGGCAGUUUCUAAAGGUUCAACCUCUAGUAACCUAAGAAAUGCAAAUUAAUGUUUUUGGCGAAUUGUAAUAAGUGUCCUAAGUAGCAGGACUUAACAUAGAAAGAAAGACAGGCUUUCCUGUGUACUUUUAGAAAGUAAUUUGGCAGUAUGUAUCUAGAGCCUUAAAUAAUAAGCUUUCCAGUGUAACGACAGGAGAAGAUACUCAACUCAUGGUCCAUUGUUCAAAAAUGCAGAAUUAUUGUGGUGUCUGCCCUCUGCUUUCCCAUCAUCCCCUCCCCUCAAAAUCCAAACUAUCCCUACUGUCAACCCUUCCCCCAGCUGAUUGUUUAGGAUCUUAAGUAACUUCCAAUUCAGCUUUGGAGAUUUAGUCUCCUGCUCCAAAUAGUUGUAAAUAUUAACUGAUUGAGAUCCCAAUUUGGAGGCACAGUCUUACAGGAAUGCCAUCUAUCUAAUUCUGUCAGUGUAAUGCCCAUAGAGCAAGGUCCCACAUAAGCUUUUCUGUUUUAAUUUAGCCGGUAAAUCAUAAGUAGAAAUUUUUCUGAUACGGUAAUUGUCUACAAUUCAAACCUAACUUUCCCCAAAUAAAAUUUAGUUUGUUCCGAUGUGAUCUCACAGCUUGCCACACCAAAAACAAAUAGUAGGGGUUAGGAGGCAUUAAAUAAACAGUUUCCUUAACUCCUGAUUGUCCAAAAUAGCUGAAUUUUUCCAAUUCUAUUUAUAAUAUCCUAUGCUAAUUAGAAGUAUUGAGAUAACGUUUUAUAAUCAAGCCUCCAGUGACUGGGGAUCACAGCUGCCAUUAUUCACAAGAAUUUUCACAGGUGAAUGAUUAUAUUUCUCCAAGUUGCAAACUCCAGUAAUUCAUGGACCUUUUUUUAAAAAAAAAAAAAGUCUUAAUAGAACCAGAAUAUCUCUGUUCUUGAAAAUUUAUCUUUGCAGAACCAGAAAUAGCUAAUUGUCUGGAAACAAUUUUUAAGAUUUGAAGUCACAUUUUUAAAAGAAGCUUUAUGGCUCAGUGGCAAGCACUUUGUGACAUUUCUUUAAUAAUCCUAUGAAAAGGACAAAACCCAGCCCUCAAAAUUGACAAUUUGAGGACAUAAUAAGCCAACUGAUAAUGCAGUGAGGAAUACUUGUUACUAUGUACAGUCAGGGAUGGUUUUGUCAGGGUAGGUUUCCUCAAAAACAUGACACCUGAGUCUUGAAGGUCAUAAGAGCCAGAGGGAAGGGUGUUCCAAGCACAAGAAAAGAGAACUCAAUGGCUUAAAAGUAUAAACAAGGCUCCUAGGGCAGCCACAGAAUUGCAUUGGAGACAGGCAGGCAGUGACUUCCCCACUGACCUAGUAUUUUGGCAUCUAUUCAGAAAGCAAGAAUGAUUUAUUGAAUGGUUUUAAGCAAUGGGAUACUAUGCUCAAAUUAUGCUGGAUGUGCACAAUUCCAGUGGCAGAUGGGAGGUAGGUUAGAGUAGCUGAAACUGGAAGCUGAGAAAUAAUUUAGGAGGGAUGACAAUCCGGAAAAUAAAUGAAAGGGCAAAAUUACAUAGGCAAUUUUGUGAAGGUCAUGAAGGAAGUUUGUCUUGGGUCUUUCUGUACCAUUUUCCUCUCCACAAUGAACAUCCCAUUCCCAGUGUCAGGUAUCAGGUGCCUAUUUUCUUUUUUUCUUUUUUCUUUUUUUUUUUUUUUGAGACAGAGUCUUGCUGUGCUCAGGCUGGAGUGCAGUGGCAAGAUCUCGGCUCACUGCAACCUCCGCCUCCCAGGUUCAAGCGAUUCUCCUGCCUCAGCCUCCUGAGUAGCUGGGAUUACAGGCGUGUGCCACCAUGCCAGGCUAAUUUUUGUAUUUUUAGUAGAGACAGGGUUUCACCAUGUUGGCCAGGUUGGUCUUGAACUCCUGACCUCAAGUCAUCUCCCCCGCCCGCCUGGGCCUCCCAAAGUGUUGGGAUUACAGGCGUGAGCCACCGCACCCAGCUGCCUAUUUUCUUGUCCCUCCAAAAAAAGAUUAAAGAGUCCCAACUCAUACUUGAAAGUUUGACUCGGUCUUUUCCUUCCAACAGUUAUAAAUCUGUGAAAUGAAAGUCUUUGUUUCCUUAAAGGGAUUUCAAGAAUUUAACAAAAGGGUUGGGGAAUGGAACCUUUGCUGUCACUAUGCCUGUCUCUCAAUUCUACCCUAAAGGUAAACUAAAUGGAAUCCUUUUAUGGUGACUAGGAUUAGGAUGUUGAUUCCAAAGCCUUUCCCUAAAAUCUAUUCCUUGCUCCCUGGAAAGGAUAAUACAGGUUCUGGCCCCCACUGUAGGUACUGACAGCCCAAGGCAGAAUAGGUUUUGCUAGGCUUUAGCCUUUUAUUCUUUGACAUAGGUCAGUCCUGCAGGCUUCUUUUUUCUAAGUCUCCUGCCUAUCCAAAACCAGACCUUUUCUCCCACCUCCUUCUGCUUCAAGCCUCUUAAUAAUCCAUAUUUCUAUUUUCUAGCAAUAGUAAUAGUUUAUUAUUUAGUGAUGUAUACUUGCACCCCAUUUACUCCUUUUCAAUAUUUCAGGAUACAUCUUUGUCCUGUAUUUCUGUACCAGUUCACAGAAUUUCUACAGCAAGAUCCCUUUAAAUGUAUGGCUUUCCUUCAUAGGUUGCAAGGAUUACUUUAUACAAGUGCUACUGUAACUAUAUCUUUUGUGGAGUACAAUUGGUAUGACAUGCUGUGUUCAUAGAUGAAAAUGCUAAGUGAGGCACUCUGAAGCAAGUUAAAGUUCACAGACAUUCUUGCUUGCCCACCACCCCCCCGAACCCCGCCAUGGAAUCAUCAAAUAAGAAAAAUAAGACAGAUUUUCAGAUUGGUGAUGGCAAAGUAAGACGCUGGUAUUUUGCACUGGCGCAGUCCAUUUAGUUGUUGAAUUUGUUCAGCAUACCUGGAUGGUGAGUGAGUUAGCUUUAUUUUUCAUUCUCAGCAGGGAAACUGAUAGACUAGGCAGUUUGGGGAAUUUUCCCAUUGUCUACUGUCAUGGGUCCAUAGUAUUUAAGUUUACAGACUACAACAUUGUCCACAGAAGCCAUAUUUAUCCCCUUGGAGGGAAGGGAAAGGUGUGCUAACUUAGAUCAUAAAAACAACUGAAUUUUAAAACAAGGCAAAUGCCACAGUUCAACUUCUCCAUAAAAAAGUUAAGUUCAUCUCUCCAUUCUUUUGCAUGCCUACAAUAUUUCCAUAUAACAACUGUAAAAUACUCUUGCCUGCUGCAAUCCAAAUGUUAUCCGGAUCACAGUUCUUGCUGUCAUUUCACAGGCAUGCAAUGUAUCUAUAGAUAGGUCAUAUCAUACCUGAGGAAGAUCAGAGACAGCAAGGGAACAUUUUCCCCACACUUGAGAUGGAAAUAAUAACAGGUCAGUGGCUAAUAAAAAGAAACAUGUAUGACUUUGUAAAACCCUAAAAGUGAUGUUUUCAAGAAAUUUAGGUUUCUUUUUUUUAUUUUAUAAAAAAAAUGUUGACAUGCAAUUUAAUUCUAUUUCAAUUUAGGUGCUGCAACCUGUACUGGAUGUUUGGGGAUAGAAAGAUGAAUGGGACAUGAUUUGUGUGCUCCAAUGAGCUCAGUCCAGUGUAAGUGUAAAAGUUAAAGUGCCAUAUUGUUUAUUCAGAGUAUAUGUUAUAGUUUGUGAACCUUAUAUCAUUUGUUAAAUGAAAGGUUUUUAUAAAUCAACAGUAAUAUUGCCAUCCCAUGUAAAAAUCCUUUGAUAUUGCCAGGAAACAACUUUAAAUCACCAGAAAGCUUUAACAUCAAAUAAUACUUUUAGAAGGAGGGGAAAAGCCUUCCACCUCGACAUCGAGCCUAUGAAGUAUUCCCUAAAAAAGAGGAACUAAUCUGAGAAAAGUUUACACAUUUUUAAUACUCUAAGUUGUAGAUAAUGAAAUUGAUUUAAAUCAAAGUUAACUAGAAUAGGAUUCAUGUGUCAUGAAUUAUAUUGUCUAUUGUCUCAUAAGCAACAAGUGACACUUAUUAUCUUGGCUGACAAAAUCAGCUACCAUUUAAUGAACCAAGUUAAGAAUAACUCAGGUGACUGAUACCAAAAAUAAAUCUCUAAUACAGCUGAGAAUCCAGAAACACAAAUAAUAUGUUGAGUAAGUAAUAAAAGUGACAUUUCAAAUUAGUAAGGAAAAAAUGGAUUAUUCAACAAAUAGUAUGGGAUAGCAUAACAAUUUAGAAGAAAUAUAAAGUUAGAUCUUUCACAAAAAUUAAUUCUAGCUAGACUAGCAGUUAGUCUUCUACUUUUUGGUUACUCCCUUUUAGAAAUUGGAAGCUAUGAAGCUAUAUACCCUGUCCAUUUGAAAAUGCACAUAAGCAAAGAACUUUACAAAUAGGUUAUAAAGAGAAGCUCAAUCUCAGCAAAAUAAGGGAAGUGCACAUUAAAACACAAGAAACCAUCUCAGAUCCAACUAAUAUUUAGCGUGCAUACAAAUCAAAAGCUGGAAAGGGUGUGGAAAAACAGGAAUACAUUGCUAGUGAGCAUACAAAUUGGCACAGCCUCUUUUAAAGACAAUUGUGUAUCACCCAUUAAAUUUUAAAAGUCACAUACCCUGUGACCUAACAAUUCCAACUUUUAAUGUCCUAAAGAAACAUACAUGUGUUCACAAGAUAGCCUGUACAAUGAUGUCAAUUGCACCUUUGCUUGUACAGUAGACCCCCUUAUCUGCAUUUUCACUUUUUGAGGUUUCAGUCAUCCAAGGUCAACCACAAUACAAAAAUAUUAAAUGGAAAAUUCCAGAAACGAACAUAAGUUUUAAACUUCAAACCUUUCUGCAUAGUAUAAUAAAAAUCUCUCACUAUCCCUCUCCAUCCUGCCUGGGACAGGAAUCAUCCCUUUGUCCAGUGUAUCCACAAUGUAUACACUCAUUAUAUACCCAUUUUAUAAUGCCCAUUAGUCAUUUCUAUUAUCAGAUCAUAAAAAAACAUAGUACAUAGAGGGUUUGGUAUUAUUCAUGGUUUCAGGCAUUCAGUGAGGGUCUUGGAAAAUAUCCUCCAUGAUGGGGGAGCUACUGUAAUACUAUGAAAUUGGAAAAACCAAAAUACUCAUCAAGAGGAUGGACUAUGGUACACAUGAUGAAGUAUUAAGUAUCAAUGAAAAAGAGAGAGUCCUACAUGUCCGGCAUGGAAGGAUCUCCAGGAGACAAUGUUAAAAGUUUGGGGGAAAAAUUGAAAGACAAUACCUGUAAUACAUAUGAUACUAGUGAUGUUAAAUCACAUCACACACACACACACACACACACACACACACACACAAAUACUGUAUAGUGUACUUCUACAAGUACAUAUUUGUGUAUUAUAUAGAGAGAAGGUCUGGAAGGAUACUAACCAAACUGUCAACAGUAGUUUGGUAGCGUGCAUUAGCUUUAACUGUAAUGUUUGAUGUUUUUGAAUAUGCAUUUAUGUAUUGUUUGUGUAAUGACAAAUUAAUAAAUUAGAAAUAAAAUAAAA